UACGUAGGGUGCGAGCGUUAAUCGGAAUUACUGGGCGUAAAGCGUGCGCAGGCGGUUUGCUAAGACCGAUGUGAAAUCCCCGGGCUUAACCUGGGAACUGCAUUGGUGACUGGCAGGCUAGAGUAUGGCAGAGGGGGGGUAGAAUUCCACGUGUAGCAGUGAAAUGCGUAGAGAUGUGGAGGAAUACCGAUGGCGAAGGCAGCCCCCUGGGCCAAUACUGACGCUCAUGCACGAAAGCGUGGGGGAGCAAACAGG
This 255-nucleotide ribosomal RNA is filed under the name uncultured bacterium. RNAcentral's name for it is "partial 16S ribosomal RNA". It matches the Rfam family "Bacterial small subunit ribosomal RNA", at positions 524 to 776 of the family's 1533-position model. The record is from RNAcentral.